RNAcentral lists this long non-coding RNA (458 nucleotides) under Fukomys damarensis (Damara mole-rat). Its description in RNAcentral is "lncRNA (ENSFDAG00000028279.1)". The record is from RNAcentral. Lineage: Eukaryota; Metazoa; Chordata; Mammalia; Rodentia; Bathyergidae.
CCUCUGUGACCAUUUGUUUUGUUUCCACGGGCCGUGAGAAUCUCUGACCUUCACAUCAGCUGGUUUGUCACCAGGCCUUCAGCUCCCACCUGGCCAGCAUGCCAAUCUCAUUUCCCUAAAAACACACUUUCCUACAGCUAGCUGCUUGGGCUCUUGGUGAAAGGCAAUAGAAACAGUCUUGCCAAUUUAAGCAGAAAAAGGAAUGUGUGACAAACUGGGGCAGAGUUUCCAGCGGGAGAGCUGGAGUCAGAAUCUUCAACAUCUAUGCACAGAUCUGUCUGAAGUUUUCCUCCCACCUCUCUGUCAGGGACAGAGGUAAGACAAAGGUCAGAGGAGUCCUGGGUACAGUGAGUCUCCCAUCCUGGGUACGUGGUUGCUGAGCUUUCCAGCAUUGGCUCUAGCACCCAGUGGAAACACUACUGUGGAAACAAGGAUUUCUGCUGCUGAUCCAAAAGGAC